This 496-nucleotide ribosomal RNA is filed under the name uncultured bacterium. RNAcentral describes it as "partial 16S ribosomal RNA". It matches the Rfam family "Bacterial small subunit ribosomal RNA", at positions 29 to 507 of the family's 1533-position model. The record is from RNAcentral.
AUGCACGCUGGCGGCGUGCCUAAUACAUGCCAGUCGAGCGAACGGACGAGAAGCUUGCUUCUCUGAUGUUAGCGGCGGACGGGUGAGUAACACGUGGAUAACCUACCUAUAAGACUGGGAUAACUUCGGGAAACCGGAGCUAAUACCGGAUAAUAUUUUGAACCGCAUGGUUCAAAAGUGAAAGACGGUCUUGCUGUCACUUAUAGAUGGAUCCGCGCUGCAUUAGCUAGUUGGUAAGGUAACGGCUUACCAAGGCAACGAUGCAUAGCCGACCUGAGAGGGUGAUCGGCCACACUGGAACUGAGACACGGUCCAGACUCCUACGGGAGGCAGCAGUAGGGAAUCUUCCGCAAUGGGCGAAAGCCUGACGGAGCAACGCCGCGUGAGUGAUGAAGGUCUUCGGAUCGUAAAACUCUGUUAUUAGGGAAGAACAUAUGUGUAAGUAACUGUGCACAUCUUGACGGUACCUACUCAGAAAGCCACGGCUAACUACGUG